Long non-coding RNA from Armigeres subalbatus, 1350 nucleotides. RefSeq lists it as uncharacterized. NCBI's taxonomy places the organism in Eukaryota, Metazoa, Arthropoda, Insecta, Diptera, Culicidae. The transcript is spliced from 3 exons. The record is from RefSeq and is a predicted model, not a curated record.
AUGUGCGUGAAAUCCUCGUUCAACGAAACAUAUAUUAUACAUUUAUAUGUAACUACAAACAACGUUUAGCCUUCGUCUACCAUAUGUGAAAGCGUUUUGUUUACAUUAGUAAUGUUACUAAUAUGCUUAUAUCUGAUCUAUUUCCUGACAUUAUUAUCACAUUAUUGGUCUUCAUCUUUAGAAAACUACUCGAAUGCUAGGUGUUUUCGGUGUUUUAGCAUGGUGACGAUGCUGUUGUGAAUCGUUUUUGUUUUUUUCAAGAUUUAGCUACAAAUCAUACCGGUUUAAUCCAAAGUUCGGCAGCUCGGCAGGCAACUAUCUAGAAACAGAAGAUGGAACAAAAAGAUCCUCCAAAAAUGUUCGACAUCGAGGGGAUAAUUUACCAAAAAACGGAUCCGUAUAACUGGACGAAUUUGAUGGACAGAGAGAUGAGAAUCGCAUAAAUUAACGCAAACACCACCUCUUUUUACUUCCCAUAUGAGCAUCAAUGAGCAUGGAUAAAUAAAUUCCUACUGCUGCAAAAGAGUACCGCCAAAGAGGACGUGAAACGGUCUGCAAGUUCCAGCGAAAACAAACCAGCAUACUACUCGGAAUCCGAAUCUGCAGUAAUCGAGAAGGAAGGCGUGACAAUCUGUUGCUGAGGCGAAGUUUAAUGAAGACAACGAAGUGCAAAUAGGCGCACAAACGAACCGUCACCCGCGAGCACAACAAAAUUCUUCGGUGUAGGAAAACGAUCUACGAGGUAAUACCUACUACGAGGAUGUCAUCUCUUGCCGUCAUAACGACUACCCUCAAGGAAUCGUGAGCAGGAGACCUGAAGUGAAACUCCCGUCUAAAAAACAAUAUAGCUCCGCUUUUCCCCGCUGGCAUGUUGUGCAAGGUCUAACAGGGAACCGGAAACCAAACUCAUCGAACGGAUCCCUAUAUAGUGGUUUGAUGUGUCGAACAACGGUCCACUACUUGAACGUGCAAGACGUCUACCGUUAUCUGCAGGAUGGAACAUCAACACGAUCGAUACCAUCAACGUGUUUAUUGUCGAAUGGUUACAGAACCCGUGACCACCAAGACAGCGGUAGCACUGGAAGCAAUCAUCACAAUGAACCAGGACGAGAAAGUGUCGCAUUAAAGCCGAUUUUGGAGGACGUACAUUCCAUCGAAGGCAGCAGCCGUAUUCCGGUUACAUACAAGGCAGCUGGCCAUUCAGACGAUCAGAACAAGACGGGGUAAAUAUACACCACUGACUCAGAACGAGCCAGUAACGCCGAUGGAUGAAACCCAUAACAAUGUUUGUCAAUUUUUAUCAAUAUUUAUGAAUGUACUAUAAAUAAAAUGACACAAUAAUAUUGUUGU